GGGGUUAUAGCUCAGCUGGGAGAGCGCCUGCCUUGCACGCAGGAGGUCUGCGGUUCGAUCCCGUAUAGCUCCACCA
This 76-nucleotide transfer RNA is filed under the name Vibrio vulnificus. RNAcentral describes it as "tRNA-Ala". It matches the Rfam family "tRNA". Rfam says of the family: Transfer RNA (tRNA) molecules are approximately 80 nucleotides in length. Their secondary structure includes four short double-helical elements and three loops (D, anti-codon, and T loops). The record is from RNAcentral. Lineage: Bacteria; Pseudomonadati; Pseudomonadota; Gammaproteobacteria; Vibrionales; Vibrionaceae.